UAGGGAAUAUUGGGCAAUGGUCGGAAGACUGACCCAGCCAUGCCGCGUGCAGGAAGAAGGCCCUCUGGGUUGUAAACUGCUUUUAUCUGGGAAGAAAAAGGCCAUGCGUGGCAAAUUGCCGGUACCAGAUGAAUAAGCACCGGCUAACUCCGUGCCAGCAGCCGCGGUAAUACGGAGGGUGCAAGCGUUGUCCGGAUUUAUUGGGUUUAAAGGGUGCGUAGGCGGCUGAUUAAGUCAGCGGUGAAAGACUUCGGCUUAACCGGAGCAGUGCCGUUGAUACUGAUUGGCUUGAGUGUUGGAGGGGUACAUGGAAUUGAUGGUGUAGCGGUGAAAUGCAUAGAUACCAUCAGGAACACCGAUAGCGAAGGCAUUGUACUGGCCAACAACUGACGCUGAGGCA
This 400-nucleotide ribosomal RNA is filed under the name uncultured bacterium. RNAcentral's name for it is "bacterial SSU rRNA". It matches the Rfam family "Bacterial small subunit ribosomal RNA", at positions 355 to 753 of the family's 1533-position model. The record is from RNAcentral.